Molecule: long non-coding RNA, 2073 nt
Filed under: Octopus sinensis (East Asian common octopus)
Lineage: Eukaryota; Metazoa; Mollusca; Cephalopoda; Octopoda; Octopodidae
Description: uncharacterized LOC118768347
Source: RNAcentral
AGGCUUACAAAGAAUAAGUGUCCUGGGGUCGAUUCGUUUGACCAAAGGUGGUGCUCCAGCAAGGCCAGUCAAAUGACUGAAACAAGUAAAAGAAUAAAGAUAUAUAUAUAUACACACACAGAGACAUCCAAUGCAACUGUAAGUGAACAGGACCCAGCACCAACUCAGAGUUCAGUAGUUCUGUCUUUAACUCCGCAUUAAGUUUAUAACCACAAGACUUAAUACCCAGUGGCACAGUCUGCUUAGUUGUAAGUGGGUACCACUAUGAUUGAAUUCAGUAUUAUUAUUAUUAUUAUUAACAAGAAGGUUUUGGUACAUGAACUUGCAGGUGGUAAUUCUAGUUUCUCUUGCAAGUAAAACCACCUGCAACAGGCCAGGAUUCAGCGGGAAAACUAUGUCGGGCAAGCAUUGCUAUCCAGGGGGUGUGUGUGUCUCAUUUGCCUCACUUUAGAUAGGGAGAUAUAAGUUAUUGAGUAAGCCCUAAAGAACUUUAGUUCCUGCACAAGAUUAGCAAAAUAGAAAUACGAGUAAUUGGCUGCACGAGCCGAGACUCAUGCAAAUUUUUGUCUUGAAGGACAAGUAGAAAUGCGCAGCACGAACCACACAAAACGUGCCAUCUUUAAGGUUAAGAAAACCAGUUUCCAUAUUUCUUUUGCUUUCUCUUUUUUAAUGAUUGUCAUUUUACUUGUAACUUCACCUUUUGUUUUAAAAAGCGAUAAAAAAUUAAUUUUGAGUGAUUUUUUGGGGUUGGACUGGAACAGAUUAAUUUUAGCUAAUUUCAAUGGAGAAAAUUAAUUAGUGAAACAAGGUCGGUCGUGGAAUGAAUUAAGUAAGGUCUUACUGCAAGGUGUCUUUGUAUUAGGGUCUUCUUUUAACGCAAUCCCUGAUCGGUUAAAGACUAUCAGUUCUUCUUUAUGGGAGCACAAUUCGUUACUUAAAAGAUCAGGUCCAGAUUGUUACCUUUUGGCUGUAAAUAACUUCAGGGAGUCAUUUCAUUUUUCCAUUACAAAGAAAGAAAAAAACAAAAAAUAUUUAAAAAAUUAAAAUGAAUAAAAAAAAUCUGCUGAAAUGUGUGUGUGUGUGUGUGGUGACACUCAGUCUAGCUUGUGUGUUUGACGAAGAUGUGUAAACUCAAUUCCAUUCCCUUCUCUGCUGUCAGGGGACAGACAGCACGAUCCUUAAGGGAAGAUGUGGCUGUCAUUCAUUGAAAGAGUUAAGGAUGCACUGAACGUUUGUUGGUCGGCUGUUUUGAACUCUUUGCAGUUUGGGAAGAGCUGGAAAGGAAACGCAGAGUGUUGGUAUAAGGAGGAGUGUGCCAUGAGUGUCACAGAGCGGCAUCUGAGCAUCGUGUUUCACACAGUGCCAUGUAAAUAUUGUUAUUGAUGGGAGAAGACUUGUGUUGGGUGGGUGGAGGCUUGCUUUGUUGUAGUGUUUUAUAAACGGGAAGGGUUUUAGGGGCAGCUCGGGUUGGGGGGGGGAAGUGGCCACCCGGCUCCUGCCGGGUGCUACACCUAGCGUAUGGGAAUGGAUGGGGAGGGGGGAUUGGGGUUAGGUGUUAACUAGCGUGCACCUAGAGUCCAAAGUGAGAACACCCACCAUGAACGGCAAGAAGUGAAAGUAAGUUUCCCCUUGCACGUAGAGAAUGUACGGGGUAAGGAGGGAAAAAAAGGGGGGGAGGGAUUGUCUGCAAAAACUACCCCCCCGUUUUCUCCUCCCCUAGUGUGUUUAUCGUGGGGGUGGGUGGGAAACAGUAGCUACCCAGCACCUUAAAUCGUUUAGAGUAGCUGUGUUUACACUGCUUUGUCAGUUCAAAUUUGUUUUGGUUGGUUUGUUUUUUUUUAAAUUCAAUGACUAAAGAAAAAAACAAAAAAAAUAAUUUGAAAAAAAAAAGGGAUAAAAAAGGUAAUAAUGCUGUGACACUGUUUAUUGAACACUGGAAUUUUUUUUUUUUUUUCUCGCUCCAUUUUGUUAAGGGUAUUUCGUCCACAGGUGGGGUGGCAUUGUCUUCAUAUGUUGUAAAAACAACAAACCCUUUUAUAACAUUUUUUAAAGAAAUAAACGUAUCAGAUUUGA